Molecule: ribosomal RNA, 253 nt
Filed under: uncultured bacterium
Lineage: Bacteria
Description: partial 16S ribosomal RNA
Rfam family: Bacterial small subunit ribosomal RNA
Source: RNAcentral
UACGUAGGGGGCUAGCGUUGUCCGGAUUUAUUGGGCGUAAAGAGCGUGUAGGCGGCUAGGUAGGUCCGUUGUGAAAACUCGAGGCUCAACCUCGAGACGUCGAUGGAAACCAUCUAGCUAGAGUCCGGAAGAGGAGAGUGGAAUUCCUGGUGUAGCGGUGAAAUGCGCAGAUAUCAGGAAGAACACCCGUGGCGAAGGCGGCUCUCUGGGACGUGACUGACGCUGAGACGCGAAAGCUAGGGGAGCAAACGGG